CCUACGGGAGGCAGCAGUGAGGAAUAUUGGUCAAUGGUCGGGAGACUGAACCAGCCAAGCCGCGUGAGGGAUGAAGGUACAGAGUAUCGUAAACCUCUUUUGUCAGGGAACAAAGGCGGGGACGUGUCCCCGGAUGAGUGUACCUGAAGAAAAAGCAUCGGCUAACUCCGUGCCAGCAGCCGCGGUAAUACGGAGGAUGCGAGCGUUAUCCGGAUUUAUUGGGUUUAAAGGGUGCGCAGGCGGUCUGUUAAGUCAGCGGUCAAAGCCCGGGGCUCAACCCCGGCCCGCCGUUGAAACUGGCAGUCGCGAGUUGGAGAGAAGUAUGCGGAAUGCGCGGGGUAGCGGUGAAAUGCAUAGAUAUCGCGCAGAACUCCGAUUGCGAAGGCAGCAUGCCGGCUCCACACUGACGCUGAGGCACGAAAGCGUGGGUAUCGAACAGGAUUAGAUACCCUUGUAGUC
RNAcentral lists this ribosomal RNA (459 nucleotides) under uncultured bacterium. RNAcentral describes it as "partial 16S ribosomal RNA". It matches the Rfam family "Bacterial small subunit ribosomal RNA", at positions 338 to 795 of the family's 1533-position model. The record is from RNAcentral.